UAGAUGCGAGAGUAGAGCAUAUCAAUAAGCGGAGGAAAAGAAACUAACAAGGAUUCCCUUAGUAACGGCGAGUGAAGCGGGAAGAGCUCAAAUUUGAAAUCUUCAAGGUUCUACCUUGACGAAUUGUAGUUUAAAGAAGUGUUUUCUGUUGGAGUUUUGGUAAAAGUUCUUUGGAAUAGGACAUCAUAGAGGGUGAGAAUCCCGUAUUUGACCAUUCACUUCCAGCUGUGUGAUACACUUUCAACGAGUCGGAUUGUUUGGGAAUGCAGUCCAAAAUGGGUGGUAAAUUUCAUCUAGAGCUAAAUAUUGGCGAGAGACCGAUAGCGAACAAGUACCGUGAGGGAAAGAUGAAAAGAACUUUGAAAAGAGAGUUAAACAGUACGUGAAAUUGUCAAAAGGGAAGCGUUUGACACCAGUGUUGUUUUCUCGAAAAUCAAUUAAAAAUGAUGGGAUUUUGUGUUGUAUUGACUUUAUCAGCUUUCUGCACUUUUUUCUUAUCUUUUUUAAUGCACUUUUCGUUUAACAAGUCAACAUCAAUUUCUUUUGUUGUAAAAGAGUCAUUGGAAGGUGGCUUUUUCUUCGGAAAAAGUGUUUAUAGCCUUUGGCUUCUGCAAUCGGAGAGAUUGAGGUCUGCAGCGUAGAUCCUUCGGGGUUAUAUACAUUUGUGCUAAGCUAUAGUUCUUUAUAGACAACUUGUUGACUAUAAUCAAUCCUGUAACUUACUCGCUUAUGCUAUUUUACCUACGCUUAGGAUGUUGACACACGCGCGUGCUCG
Molecule: ribosomal RNA, 775 nt
Filed under: uncultured Neocallimastigales
Lineage: Eukaryota; Fungi; Neocallimastigomycota; Neocallimastigomycetes; Neocallimastigales
Description: partial large subunit ribosomal RNA
Rfam family: Eukaryotic large subunit ribosomal RNA
Source: RNAcentral